UACGGGGGGGCAAGCGUUGUUCGGAAUUACUGGGCGCAAAGGGCUCGUAGGCGGCCAACUAAGUCAGACGUGAAAUCCCUCGGCUUAACCGGGGAACUGCAUCUGAUACUGGAUGGCUUGAGUUCGGGAGAGGGAUGCGGAAUUCCAGGUGUAGCGGUGAAAUGCGUAGAUAUCUGGAGGAACACCGGUGGCGAAGGCGGCAUCCUGGACCGACACUGACGCUGAGGCGCGAAAGCCAGGGGAGCAAACGGG
RNAcentral lists this ribosomal RNA (252 nucleotides) under uncultured bacterium. RNAcentral describes it as "partial 16S ribosomal RNA". It matches the Rfam family "Bacterial small subunit ribosomal RNA", at positions 524 to 776 of the family's 1533-position model. The record is from RNAcentral.